RNAcentral lists this ribosomal RNA (522 nucleotides) under uncultured bacterium. Its description in RNAcentral is "bacterial SSU rRNA". It matches the Rfam family "Bacterial small subunit ribosomal RNA", at positions 8 to 518 of the family's 1533-position model. The record is from RNAcentral.
AGAGUUGAUCCUGGCUCAGGAUGAACGCUAGCUACAGGCUUAACACAUGCAAGUCGAGGGGCAUCAUGGAGUUUGCUUGCAAACUCUGAUGGCGACCGGCGCACGGGUGAGUAACGCGUAUCCAACCUUCCCUAUAGUAGAGGAUAGCCCGGCGAAAGUCGGAUUAAUACUCUAUGUUUUCCGUUGCAGACAUCUAAGAUGGAACAAAGGCUUGCCGCUAUAGGAUGGGGGAUGCGUCUGAUUAGGUAGUCGGCGGGGUAACGGCCCACCGAGCCAUCGAUCAGUAGGGGUUCUGAGAGGAAGGUCCCCCACAUUGGAACUGAGACACGGUCCAAACUCCUACGGGAGGCAGCAGUGAGGAAUAUUGGUCAAUGGGCGAGAGCCUGAACCAGCCAAGUAGCCGUGCAGGACGACGGCCCUAUGGGUUGUAAACUGCUUUUAUGCGGGGAUAAAGUUCACUACGUGUAGUGUUUUGUAGGUACCGCAUGAAUAAGGACCGGCUAAUUCCGUGCCAGCCGCAGC